Molecule: ribosomal RNA, 383 nt
Filed under: uncultured eukaryote
Lineage: Eukaryota
Description: partial 18S ribosomal RNA
Rfam family: Eukaryotic small subunit ribosomal RNA
Source: RNAcentral
CAAUAGCGUAUAUUAAAGUUGUUGCAGUUAAAAAGCUCGUAGUUGGAUUUCUGGUGGGAGCGAUCGGUCUGGCGCUUAGCGCGAGUACUUGCAUCGUCUCCGGCCAUCCUUGGGGAGAGUCUGUCUGGCAUUAGGUUGUCGGGCAGAGGAUCCUCAUCGUUUACUGUGAAAAAAUUAGAGCGUUCAAAGCAGGCUUAUGCCGUUGAAUAUAUUAGCAUGGAAUAAUAAGAUAGGACUUUGGUACUAUUUUGUUGGUUUGCGCACCAAAGUAAUGAUUAAUAGGGACAGUUGGGGGUAUUCGUAUUCCGUUGUCAGAGGUGAAAUUCUUGGAUUUACGGAAGACGAACUACUGCGAAAGCAUUUACCAAGGAUGUUUUCAUUAA